GAGCUAAUACCGGAUAAUAUUUUGAACCGCAUGGUUCAAAAGUGAAAGACGGUCUUGCUGUCACUUAUAGAUGGAUCCGCGCUGCAUUAGCUAGUUGGUAAGGUAACGGCUUACCAAGGCAACGAUGCAUAGCCGACCUGAGAGGGUGAUCGGCCACACUGGAACUGAGACACGGUCCAG
This 180-nucleotide ribosomal RNA is filed under the name uncultured Staphylococcus sp. Its description in RNAcentral is "partial 16S ribosomal RNA". It matches the Rfam family "Bacterial small subunit ribosomal RNA", at positions 160 to 334 of the family's 1533-position model. The record is from RNAcentral. Lineage: Bacteria; Bacillati; Bacillota; Bacilli; Caryophanales; Staphylococcaceae.